This 4650-nucleotide ribosomal RNA is filed under the name Triticum aestivum (bread wheat). RNAcentral describes it as "partial small subunit ribosomal RNA". Lineage: Eukaryota; Viridiplantae; Streptophyta; Magnoliopsida; Poales; Poaceae. The record is from RNAcentral.
AUGGAGGGCGUGCAGAAAACUCUGGAGGAAUUACUGACGAAAUUUUCGUCGCUGUCGACCGAAGUCCAGCAGCUGAGUACUCAGGUGGCCGAUUUCGGCGAGGGGUUGGAUGCGGUCAAGCGUACCCAGGCCAUGGAGGCGGUGGUGCGGACGGCUCCUUCGUCCUCCACCACACACCCCGCGGUAGUGUUGGUCAACAAGGGACCCCCACUCCUCCACGUUCCACCACGGCCACCACCGCCGCCUGUUCGUCGCGACGCACACCCGGACCGCCAGGCCUCACCACCACGGUCCCCGCGCGACACCUACCGUCACAAGCCGCCGAAGCACGAUUUUCCCCGGUUCAGCGGCGACGCCCCGCGCCUCUGGUUUGACCUCUGCCACACCUAUUUUCAGCUCUAUCAAACGCCACCAGAGCACUGGGUUUCUACAGCUGUGUUGUAUAUGGACGGCCAUGCCGCGCUAUGGUGUCAGGCGUACAAGCGUCUGCAUGGUCUGGGUGAUUGGUUUUCAUUCAUGGAGGCAGUGCAGACUGAAUUUGGGCAGGAUGAGUUUGACGGCUUGCUGCAUCGUUUGCAUCACCUCAAGCAGACUUCUACUGUCGCUGAGUACAGGCUCUCGUUUGAGGCUAUUAUGUAUCAUCUCAUUGCGCUGGAUCCGUCCUUGAAUCAGAAAUUUUUUGUUUCUCAGUUUAUCAUCGGUCUCCGGGAUGAGGUCCGCACAGGAGUGCGCCAGCACGCGCGGACGAGCGUUUCCAGAGCAGCGGCACUUGCCCGGAUUCAGGAGGAAGAAUCUGAACACAGCAAGCCGCGGGGUCGCCCACCGGUGUAUACUCGCGCCAUCCCUCCGCCGCCGGUGCCUGCAAUGGCUCCUGGACCAGUACAGCCACGCAUCGAUGGUGCUAAGCGCGGCCCGGAUGAUUUUGGCCGCGAACGGCAACUGCGUGAAUUCAGACGCGCCAAUGGAUUGUGUUUCAAGUGCGGUGACAAGUAUUCCAGAGAACAUAAAUGCAACAGGGUUGGUCAGCUCCUAACCAUUGAAGUGGGCGAUCAUGGUGAACUUUUGUCUGAUGAUGCCAUCCGUGCGCUUGAGUUGCUUGAUGACAAUCCAGAAGAAGCUGCAGCUUGCUAUCAAAUUUCAGUCCAUGCGGUAGCAGGAACAGAAUCGUCAGGUACCAUGAGGCUACGAGCAUUGGUUGGCAACCAGGUAAUGCUAUUGUUGGUAGAUUCUGGCAGCACGCAUACAUUCGUGAAUUCCACGUUUGCGUCACGAGCCGGUUGCACGGUGCAGGAAGCAGAACCGGUGACAGUGCGUGUGGCUAAUGGCGAAACACUGAAAUCCACACAGCAGGUCUCUCAAUUGAAGUGGUGGUAUCAGGGACAUACUUUCAGCACUGAUAUGAGAUUGUUGGAUUUAGGGGCAUAUGAUGCUGUCCUUGGAGUUGAUUGGCUGGCCCAAUUCAGCCCCAUGAAUUGCCAUUGGGGACUGAAGACCAUGGAGUUCCGCUAUGGCCUGACAAAUAUUCAGUUGCAAGGGGUACGGGCACCUGGGGAGCCAACACUGACUGAAAUACGAGCAGAGCAACUGUCGAAGUGGAUUCAGGGCAAUGAGGUUUGGGCUUUGGCAGUUAUCCAGCCUGCAGAUUCUGUUACAAACAACACCAAGCCACUGCCACUACCUUUGCAAGCUCUACUGGAGGAGUUUGCUGAUGUAUUUCAGGAACCUACCACACUACCACCACAUAGAUCGUUUGAUCAUGCUAUACACUUGGAACCCGGCGCCACUCCUCCCAAUGUUCGGCCGUAUCGAUAUUCUCCUCUUCAGAAGGACGAGAUUGAGCGUCAGGUGACUGAAAUGUUAAAAGCUGGGUUGAUCACCAAUAGUAUUAGUCCAUUUGCUGCUCCUGUCCUGCUAGUCAAGAAGAAGGAUGACACAUGGCGUUUCUGUGUCGAUUAUCGCCGACUGAAUGAUAUCACAAUUAAGAAUAAGUUUCCCUUACCAGUGAUUGAUGAACUGCUAGACGAGUUGGCGGGAGCUCGCUUCUUUUCUAAAUUGGACUUACGAUCGGGUUAUCAUCAAAUCAGGAUGCGCCCAGAGGAUGAAGCCAAGACAACAUUUAAAACCCAUCACGGCCAUUUUCAGUUCCGAGUAAUGCCGUUUGGUGUCACAAAUGGGCCACCUACAUUUCAGUGUUUGAUGAAUUCUGUCUUGGCACCUGGUACCAGGAAGUAUGUCAUAGCAUUUUUGGAUGACAUCUUGACAUACAGUGAGUCGUUUGAUGAGCACCUGCAACAUUUGAGACUGGUUCUUACCACACUUCGGCAGCAUCAGUUAUAUGCCAAAUUUUCAAAGUGCACUUUUGCCCAGUCUUCCAUCAAUUACUUGGGCCAUGUGAUUUCAGCAGAAGGGGUUGCAACAGAAUCUGACAAAACAGAGGCGAUCCAAAACUGGCCACAACCUUCUUCACAAACAGAACUGCGAGCAUUUUUGGGCCUGACGGGAUACUAUCGCAAGUUUGUCAGGAAUUACAGUAUAAUCACAAAACCCCUGACAACUCUUUUGAGCAAGAAAGGUUUUGUUUGGUCUGUUGAAGCCACUGAGGCCUUCCUGAAACUGAAACAAGUGAUGACUACUACACCAGUGCUCGCUUUACCAAAUUUCUCACUCCCAUUCACUGUAGAGACGGAUGCUUGUGACACUGGGAUCGGGGCUGUUCUCUCGCAGCAAGGUCACCCAAUUGCGUUUCUCAGUCGCGCGCUCGGGGUCAAUAACAAGAAGUUGUCGGUGUAUGAAAAAGAGUUUCUCGCAGUGAUGAUGGCGAUCGACCGUUGGCGACCAUAUCUUCAGCGAGGUCAAUUCACCAUAUUAACGGAUCACAAAAGUCUCUGUACACUAGGGGAACAACAUCUGGGCUCGGAGCUUCAACGGAAAGCAAUGGCAAAACUGGGAGGUCUUCAGUUUAAGUUCAAAUAUCGCAAGGGCAUCGAUAACACGGCCGCAGAUUCUUUGUCACCUAUUGGGCAUUUGUUCACUGUCACAGCCACAUCAACGUGUCAACCUUCAUGGAUUCAGGAAGUGUGCAAUUCUUACCGCACUGACGCCAAGGCAACGGAGCUUUUGCAGGCAUUGACGAUUUGCAGCCCAGACACUCAUGGCCAUGAACUAGACAGAGGCAUGAUUAAGUACAGAGGAUGCCUCUGGAUUGGGAAUAAUGCAGCAUUACAAACUAAACUGAUCAGUGAGCUACAUACAACUGCGGUGGGAGGUCAUUCAGGUAUCCAUCCAACUUAUUUGCGACUGAAGAAUUUGUUCUUUUGGCCUGGCAUGAAACUACAAGUUGAGGAGUUUGUCAAGCAGUGCAGUGUCUGUCAGCAAGCGAAACACGAACAUGCACAUCCGUCGGGCACAUUACAACCCUUGCCGAUACCUGUUCGAGCCUGGGGCGAAGUAACGAUGGAUUUUAUUGAAGGGUUGCCGCGUUCAGAAGGGGCUGAUGUGAUUCUGGUGGUAGUGGAUCGAUUAACUAAAUAUUCACACUUCAUUCCACUCCAUCACCCAUUCACAGCUCUUCAGGUUGCUCGUGCAUUCCUCGACAACAUUGUCAAAUUGCAUGGUGUUCCAGAAUCAAUCGUUUCUGACCGGGAUAAGAUCUUCACGAGUGCAUUUUGGAGGGAACUAUUUGCGCUCGUCGGCACCAAGCUUCUUUACACUACCGCCUACCAUCCACAGACGGAUGGCCAGAGCGAAACGGUGAAUCAAUGUCUUGAGCAUUAUCUACGUUGUGCUGUUCACGACACACCGUGUCGGUGGAAAAGAUGGUUACCAAUGGCAGAAUUCUGGUACAACUCGAGUCAUCACAGUGCGAUCGGGUGCUCGCCGUUCAAAGCUUUAUAUGGAGUGGAUCCGAACUUUGGUGCCCUGCCUAAUCUAUUCAACACAACGACUCCGGCAUCACUGCAUGAGCUGGCCGCAGAGCACCAACAGUUCACUGAAAUGCUAAAAGAACACCUACUGCAUGCACAACACAGAAUGAAACAUCAGGCUGAUCGCAAACGCACAGAGAGGGAGUUCAGUGUUGGUGAUCAAGUGCUACUCAAACUUAAACCGUAUGUGCAAUCCUCGGUGGUCAACCGGCCUUGUCCCAAACUGGCAUACAAAUUCUAUGGCCCGUACAAAGUCACCAGCCGCAUUGGCACUGUUGCGUACAAGUUGGAGCUGCCCCAGGAGAGUAAAAUUCACCCAGUUUUUCAUGUUUCACAGCUUAAACCCUUCACGGCGGACUACUCGCCAGUCUUCAAUCAACUGCCCGCUCCACCGGACCUCACUGUCGGCGAUCUGGUUCCUCAGGCGAUUCUGGAGCGCCGCCUCGUCAAGCAAGGGAACGCGGCAAUUCCUCAAGUCCUGGUGCACUGGCGCACGCUUUCGCCGGCCAGUGCAACCUGGGAGAACUACCAUGUGCUUCAACAGCGAUUUCCGGGCGUCGACCUCGGCAAUGGCGCUUCGACUCAAGGAGGGGACAAUGUCACGCCCUACUCUCCACCCGAUCAGGCAGGAGAGCAUGCGGACAGCAAGGCACCAGAGGUGCAGCCGCGUGAGGAGGAAGAUCAAGGCCCACGGGCAGAGAGCAUGGAAAAGUCCUUGGUAGGUUAG